CCUUCUGACAAAUAUAACGUGAAGAUAAAAACCCAUAAACAAGGAAUCUAAUCAAUAUUAAAUCAACAAUCCUUCGAAAGAUAAUAAAAAUUGACGUGGGUCAUUGUUGAAAAAAUAAAAUCUACCAAUUGCAAUUACAGAAAUUGAAAUUUUGCUUUGGUGUUGCAAAGGAUUUCGGAUGCCGCAAACCGAGGGCUAAUCGGGGCAGCCCUAGAAACGAAGAUUACUAAAUAAUUGUUACAGAGAGACGGGGUUCUGCAUGGUUUAAUAAAUGCAGAACAGAGCAUUAUGGAAAUUCACCCAAAGGAAAUACCCACCACCGAGUCGGUUUCGGAGUUUCUAGAUAAGCCUGAGGGAGAAGAGCAAUUGAUCCCAAGCCCGAGAAUAAGCAUUGCAUUUGAUGCAAAACAUACACCCAUGUUUCCAUCUAUGAAAGCACUGAUUCUCUACCAGAGAACAAUAAAUCCGUUGAGAAAGAGGGGGAAGAUUUAGAAAGGGCUCGGCCACCCCAGUCGCAUUCACUCUCUGAAAAUGAUAGUUCUGUGGCAUCCAGUGUGGGAUUGUAUCCUCGGAAUCAUAGGUACCAUAAUGUUAUGGAGGUAACGAUGAAAUCGAAGAGUUUGGUGAUAGUGACUUGGAUAAUAUAGAUGAGAUGGACGAUCAAGAUGAUUCGGAUUACUAUGAUCAAGAUGAUGGAAUUGUUUGCGGAGAAGUAUGGUCAGAGUCAAUUUUAACUGCAUCCAUGGAGUCAAGGACAGAUCUUUCAGCUUGAGUUAUCAACGAGGAAGUACAGAGUCCUUUGAUAAGGAUUGGACAGCCCGAGAUGGAAAUGGAGGCAUCUGGACCAAAAACUAUUUCUAGAGAUAGAAGUGACUAUGUCAAUUCCGUGCUGAACCCUGUUGAAAACACUACUCAGUGGAAAGCUGUGAAGUUGAAAGGGAUGCAGCCUUUGAAGCCACAGAAGGAGAACUUGAUUGUUACGACCUUGAAGCACCCCACAUUUCUUUCAGUAGUUUAGAACCGACUUUCAAGCGAUCUUCACAAAGUUUGAAGCCAAAAUUGGAUCAUUCGAGAUAGUCGUUGAUUCUAGUCUUUCAAGCUGGUUGGUUUCGCCUGAUAUCACUCCUGCAAAGAAGAAUAGUUAUAGUGAUCUUGAGACCACUACGCCUGAAAGGAACAUACCAAUAGGGUCGACUUCACCGAGGAGCUAUGAUGAUCGACCAAUUCUAGGUGCAUUGACAGUCGAGGAGCUGAAACGGAUGUCAGCAUCUUCCUCCCUGAGGAAGUCUCCUGGUCGAAACCCUGAUGAGAUGCCUAUUAUAGGUACAGUCGGGACCUAUUGGAAUGAUUCGGGUUCGGCCAAGCAUUCUGACUCAGUCUCUUCUUACAAAGUCAUACCGAAUACAACCAGUAAGUACAGAGAGGUAUUCUUGAAGUGAGAAUUUGUAAAUUAAUAUCACAUUGAUAAUGUUUUGUUCCAAGUAUUUGCCAUCAAUUGUGCAGGACAAGAGAGUGAAUUGGCAUUCAACUCCAUUCGAGGCGAGACUGGAGAGAGCUCUCAACCAAGGUGCUGCAGAAGCCUAAUAUACCCAAUUUCAUCCUACAGAAGAAAGAUGAAUUGAAAUUUUUAUUAUUCUUUUCCAGUGCCCGUCUUUGGAUUCUUUUAAUCUGUUAUAGUUUGUGAAUUUUAUGCAUUUGUUUAUUGUACUUGCUCAUACCUUUUUUAUUGUUUGUGAAUUUUGAUAUGAUUUAUAUGCAAUUGUUUGUUUAUUGUAAUAAUUUAA
Molecule: long non-coding RNA, 1784 nt
Organism: Olea europaea var. sylvestris
Lineage: Eukaryota; Viridiplantae; Streptophyta; Magnoliopsida; Lamiales; Oleaceae
Exons: 3
Source: RefSeq, a predicted model, not a curated record